UGGGGAAUAUUGCACAAUGGGCGCAAGCCUGAUGCAGCCAUGCCGUGUGUGUGAAGAAGGCCUUCGGGUUGUAAAGCACUUUCAGCGAGGAGGAAGGGUAGUGUGUUAAUAGCACAUUGCAUUGACGUUACUCGCAGAAGAAGCACCGGCUAACUCCGUGCCAGCAGCCGCGGUAAUACGGAGGGUGCAAGCGUUAAUCGGAAUUACUGGGCGUAAAGCGCACGCAGGCGGUUUGUUAAGUCAGAUGUGAAAUCCCCGCGCUUAACGUGGGAACUGCAUUUGAAACUGGCAAGCUAGAGUCUUGUAGAGGGGGGUAGAAUUCCAGGUGUAGCGGUGAAAUGCGUAGAGAUCUGGAGGAAUACCGGUGGCGAAGGCGGCCCCCUGGACAAAGACUGACGCUCAGGUGCGAAAGCGUGGGGAGCAAACA
This 427-nucleotide ribosomal RNA is filed under the name uncultured bacterium. RNAcentral describes it as "partial 16S ribosomal RNA". It matches the Rfam family "Bacterial small subunit ribosomal RNA", at positions 355 to 774 of the family's 1533-position model. The record is from RNAcentral.